CCUACGGGAGGCUGCAGUAAGGAAUCUUCGUCAAUGGGCGCGAGCCUGAACCAGCAAAGUAGCGUGAAGGAUGACUGCCCUACGGGUUGUAAACUUCUUUUGUAAUGGAAUAAAGUGAGGCACGUGUGCCUUUUUUUUUGUACUUUAUGAAUUAGGAUCGGCUAACUCCGUGCCAGCAGCCGCGGUAAUACGGAGGAUCCGAGCGUUGUCCGGAUUUAUUGGGUUUAAAGGGAGCGUAGAUGGGUUGUUAAGUCAGUUGUGAAAGUUUGCGGCUCAACCGGAAAAUUGCAAUUGAUACUGGCAGUCUUGAGUACAGUUGAGGUAGGCGGAAUUCGUGGUGUAGCGGUGAAAUGCUUAGAUAUCACGAAGAACUCCGAUGGCGAAGGCAGCUUACUAAUCUGCCACUGACACUGAUGCUCGAAAGUGUGGGUAUCAAACAGGAUUAGAUACCCGUGUAGUC
This 460-nucleotide ribosomal RNA is filed under the name uncultured bacterium. RNAcentral describes it as "partial 16S ribosomal RNA". It matches the Rfam family "Bacterial small subunit ribosomal RNA", at positions 338 to 795 of the family's 1533-position model. The record is from RNAcentral.